GACGCCGAGGCCCUGUGGUGGGGCGUAGGUCCGCAAAAUCUACCGGAGUGGGUUCGAUUCCCACCGGCGUCU
This 72-nucleotide transfer RNA is filed under the name Planctomycetia bacterium. RNAcentral describes it as "tRNA-Cys". It matches the Rfam family "tRNA". Rfam says of the family: Transfer RNA (tRNA) molecules are approximately 80 nucleotides in length. Their secondary structure includes four short double-helical elements and three loops (D, anti-codon, and T loops). Further hydrogen bonds mediate the characteristic L-shaped molecular structure. tRNAs have two regions of fundamental functional importance: the anti-codon, which is responsible for specific mRNA codon recognition, and the 3' end, to which the tRNAs corresponding amino acid is attached (by aminoacyl-tRNA synthetases). tRNAs cope with the degeneracy of the genetic code in two manners: having more than one tRNA (with a specific anti-codon) for a particular amino acid; and 'wobble' base-pairing, i.e. permitting non-standard base-pairing at the 3rd anti-codon position. The record is from RNAcentral. Lineage: Bacteria; Pseudomonadati; Planctomycetota; Planctomycetia.